This 107-nucleotide small nuclear RNA is filed under the name Meriones unguiculatus (Mongolian gerbil). The record is from RNAcentral. Lineage: Eukaryota; Metazoa; Chordata; Mammalia; Rodentia; Muridae.
GUGCUUGCUUCGGCAGCACAUAUACUAAAAUUGGAACGAUACAGAGAAGAUUAGCAUGGCCCCUGUGCAAAGCUGACACGCAAAUUCAUGAAGUGAUCCAUAUUUUU